GGUUUUACCCUAGGAACGUACGGUCGGACCGCUAACCGGCAAGGAGGCAGCGGCACGUAGGUCGUAGCGACUGGGGUG
Molecule: ribosomal RNA, 78 nt
Filed under: uncultured bacterium
Lineage: Bacteria
Description: partial 16S ribosomal RNA
Source: RNAcentral